GACGAACGCUGGCGGCGUGCCUAACACAUGCAAGUAGAACGCACAGUUUAUACUUUAGCUUGCUACACCAUACACUGUGAGUUGCGAACGGGUGAGUUACGCUUAGGUAACCUGCCUGGUAGCUUGGGAUAACUAUUGGUAACGCUAGCUAAUAGCGCAUAAUAUUGGUUAUUGCUUGAAAAUUGAUUGAAGGUUGCUAUUGCAUCACUACUAGAUGGAUCUGCGUUGUAUUGGCUAGUAGGUGAGGUAUCGGCUCAUCUAGGCGACGAUACAUAGCCGAGCUGCGAGGGUGGUCAGCCACCCUGGGAGUGGGACACGGCCCAGAGUCCUACGGGAAGGAGCAGGAGGGAAACUUCGGCAAGGGGGGGAAGUCAGACCGAGAAAGGCCGAGGGAGGGAAGAAGGUUGUCGGGUCGUAAAGGUCUGUUGUAAGGGGAGAAAGGGUGUGAGCCUGGGAAGUUGAGACUGUGACGGUAACUGACCAAAAAGCAACGGCUAACUACGUG
This 505-nucleotide ribosomal RNA is filed under the name uncultured bacterium. RNAcentral's name for it is "partial 16S ribosomal RNA". It matches the Rfam family "Bacterial small subunit ribosomal RNA", at positions 28 to 507 of the family's 1533-position model. The record is from RNAcentral.